UACGUAGGGUGCGAGCGUUAAUCGGAAUUACUGGGCGUAAAGCGUGCGCAGGCGGUUUUGUAAGCCAGAUGUGAAAUCCCCGGGCUUAACCUGGGAAUGGCAUUUGGGACUGCAAGGCUGGAGUGUGGCAGAGGAGACUGGAAUUCCCGGUGUAGCAGUGAAAUGCGUAGAGAUGUGGAGGAACACCGAUGGCGAAGGCAGCCUCCUGGGCCAGCACUGACGCUCAUGCACGAAAGCGUGGGGAGCAAACAGG
RNAcentral lists this ribosomal RNA (253 nucleotides) under uncultured bacterium. RNAcentral's name for it is "partial 16S ribosomal RNA". It matches the Rfam family "Bacterial small subunit ribosomal RNA", at positions 524 to 776 of the family's 1533-position model. The record is from RNAcentral.